Molecule: long non-coding RNA, 891 nt
Filed under: Dromaius novaehollandiae (emu)
Lineage: Eukaryota; Metazoa; Chordata; Aves; Casuariiformes; Dromaiidae
Description: lncRNA (ENSDNVG00000007731.1)
Source: RNAcentral
AGCCUUAAGUAAAUGGUUCAACAUUAUCUGCAUUCCUUAUUUGCUACAAAAUAUCCCAGAUUCAGAACAAGAGAUGUGUAUCAUACGUAAGUUGGAAUAUGUAUCUGUAAUCUACCCAAAGUUGAGACUGUCUCUAUAUCUUCAUAGAUGGAACUUCAGAAAGAAGUAAAUCAGUUCCUUUCAUCCCUGCGAACACAGGAUAUAAGGAUAGCAAGAAAAUCUGGGAACUCCAGUUGAUUUACCUGCUUCACAAACUCAUUAAAUACAGCACACAACAAUCAGCAGUCCCAAAGCUGGAGACAUCCAAGGUUAAAAUGACAGAAACAUAUGAAACUGGGCUUGCUACAUCCUGCUAGUGAACAGAGUGCAGUGCCUACACCAGUCAUCGUUUUACUAUUACCUAUUUCUUUGCAAGAAUGCUAAAAUUCAUCAACAUAUAUCAAUGAUGGAAAAUAUUUAAAGCUAUAAGUUAUGAAGCUGCUGAUGAGCACAASCUGACGCAGGUGGUGGCUGAUUCCUGUGGGUUGCCUUUCGCAGCCAAGAAGCUGUUGACCAUUUCUAUACGCCAGGAAACACARCUGUCUGUAAAGAUCAAGUAGCUAGACCCAAACACGCUCAGGUGUGAAUUCAUCCUCCCGUGACAAUUAAGAAUGAUGCUAACUGGAAAAGGAUGCUUAAUUCUAACUGUUAAGUGAGCUGAACCAGAAGCAGCCUGGAAGAGACAGAGGAUUAAAAUAGUGAAAGUUAAAUGUGCCAAGAAUGGCAAAAAUCAAAGAGCAAAAAUCCAAGUGCAGAGGCUCAUCCGCGGUGCGCGUGGCUGGCACACGAAGCACGUCGGAGUGGCACAGACUAGCGGGUGCUCUGGAGAGAUGKUUUGAUAAAAACAUUUAA